UUAAUCUCCCACUUUCUCAAAUAAAAAUCUUAGCCACCGAAUGCAGAUUAAAAUCGCAGAAAUAAUACAAAUUUGCCACCAGAUCGACCUCAAAAAAUACACAGAAAACCGAAAAUACAUAUUAAGAGCUUUGCUGGUAAAGAGGAAAAAAGUACAGAUUUUUGCGUGUCCCAAGCGAGCCAGACUGUGGAGAAAUGGCCCCAACCAAGCUUACUCUGGACAACGUAACGGCCGUUCUUAAAAGUGUCACAUAUUCGCACCGCGUGGUAGCCGCCGCGCCGGUAAUCCUCUGUUCCUUCGUCCUCCGACGUGUAGUCUCCGCUCUCGCUGCUCCGAUCCUCCUCUUCCACCAGCUGCUUCUUCUCAUCCAUCGGCCCUGGAUUGAUUCUCCCCUCUCUCUACAGGGCUUUUGAGCUUGGAGAUUAUUGAGAAAAUGGUGUCGAAUUCAAUGGAUUAGGGUGGCAGUAUCACAAUGAUGAAAAAAUAGACUUUGUUAAAUUCUGGAACGCUGAGAAUUGUACCGGGAAAGAUGAGC
This 535-nucleotide unclassified non-coding RNA is filed under the name Hevea brasiliensis (rubber tree). Lineage: Eukaryota; Viridiplantae; Streptophyta; Magnoliopsida; Malpighiales; Euphorbiaceae. The record is from RNAcentral.